This is a non-coding RNA of Parelaphostrongylus tenuis, 71 nucleotides long. Lineage: Eukaryota; Metazoa; Nematoda; Chromadorea; Rhabditida; Metastrongylidae. The record is from the annotation of a GenBank genome assembly.
ACCUCUGUGGUGUAGUGGUAGCACGCGUCCCUGGUAUGGAUGAAACGCGAGUUCGACUUCCGCACGAGGUC